UUAGGAAUCUUGGGCAAUGGGCGAAAGCCUGACCCAGCAACGCCGCGUGGGUGACGAAGGCCCUCGGGUCGUAAAGCCCUUUUGCACGGGAAGAUGAUGACGGUACCGUGCGAAUAAGCCCCGGCUAACUACGUGCCAGCAGCCGCGGUAAUACGUAGGGGGCAAGCGUUGUCCGGAUUUAUUGGGCGUAAAACGCUCGUAGGUGGCCACGUCAAGUCGGAUGUGAAAUCUCCCGGCUCAACUGGGAGGGGUCAUUCGAUACUGGCGGGCUCGAGGCUGGUAGGGGGAAGCGGAAUUCCGGGUGUAGUGGUGGAAUGCGUAGAUAUCCGGAGGAACACCAGUGGCGAAGGCGGCUUCCUGGACCGGUUCUGACACUGAGGAGCGAAAGCGUGGGGAGCGAU
Molecule: ribosomal RNA, 401 nt
Filed under: uncultured bacterium
Lineage: Bacteria
Description: bacterial SSU rRNA
Rfam family: Bacterial small subunit ribosomal RNA
Source: RNAcentral